This 254-nucleotide ribosomal RNA is filed under the name uncultured bacterium. Its description in RNAcentral is "partial 16S ribosomal RNA". It matches the Rfam family "Bacterial small subunit ribosomal RNA", at positions 524 to 776 of the family's 1533-position model. The record is from RNAcentral.
CACGUAGGGCGCAAGCGUUGUCCGGAAUUAUUGGGCGUAAAGAGCUCGUAGGCGGUCUGUUGCGUCCGCUGUGAAAACUCGGGGCUUAACCCCGAGCCUGCAGUGGAUACGGGCAGACUAGAGGUAGGUAGGGGAGAAUGGAAUUCCCCGGUGUAGCGGUGAAAUGCGCAGAUAUCAGGAGGAACACCGAUGGCGAAGGCAGGUCACUGGGCCGCAACUGACGCUGAGGAGCGAAAGCAUGGGGAGCGAACAGG